GCUUUGCAGAUCCGGGACCGAGGAAACGCACCAGAGAUGGACGAGGCACUGGCGGGUAAGGUUUUGGGAAAGAAUCCCGUCUCCCCUAAAUUGCCCUACUUGGGUCGGCGGGGAGCGGGGAAUGCACGGGCCUUCGCCCACUGGACACGCUCCCCCGGUCCCAGAAGACACUUAUUUGUGUUAUGAAUUAAAUUGUUUUUAAUAAAUUAGUUUUAGUGUGUUGUGUAAUUCAUAUUUGUUAAAUUAAUCCAUUUUUUUAGGUUUUUAACUGUUGUUUACACACAAACACACAAACAAACAAACAUACAUGAACACUACUUGAACUAUGUAUAUGAUGUGUGCACCGCGACGACGUUUCGACCUAGUUUGGUCUUCAUCAGGUCUAUGCACAUGUAACAGCUAAGGCUGCUGGGCCCCAAUUCAUAGGGGUGAACCAGCCAGCAGCCGAACAGAAAUGAAAAUGAAAAGCCCUACCCACUUUUCUCCCUUUUAUAUUCCCUCAGCUAAAAAUUAGAAUGAAUUUACUUAUAUUUAAGUUAUUUUCUGCUCUAUUUAGUUUUUACAAUCUUAACCCUUUAUGCACCUGUUUGUGCUUUAAAUCCGUAUUAAUUAUGUUUAUUCACAUAUUUGUGCUUUAAUAAACAUAUUAAUAGGUAUAUGGUCCUGCUUGACCUUUGACCUCUGUGGCCUGCUUGGCCGUCGGUCAUUAAGUUGCCUCUAAUGGUUAGGGUUAGGGCGAGUCCCAGGUUAGGGUUAGAAUCCCAUACUAGGGUUAGGGUUAGGGUUAGAUUCCCAGGUUAGGGUUAGUGCUGGGGUUAGGGUUAGGGUUAGGGGUUAGGGUUAGGGGUUAGGGUUAGGGUUAGGGUUAGGGUUAGGGUUAGGGUUAGGGUUAGGGUUAGGGUUAGGGUUAGGGUUAGGGUUAGGGUUAGGGUUAGGGUUGGGGUUAGGGUUAGGGUUAGGGUUAGGGGUUAGGGUUAGGGUUAGGGGUUAGGGUUAGGGGGUUAGGGGUUAGGGUUAGGGUUAGGGUUAGGGUUAGGGUUAGGGGUUAGGGUUAGGGUUAGGGUUAGGGUUAGGGUUAGGGGUUAGGGUUAGGGUUGGGGUUGGGGUUGGGGUUAGGGUUAGGGUUAGGGUUAGGGUUAGGGUUAGGGUUAGGGUUAGGGUUACGGGAAAAGGGGGACUGUCUCCUAGGAUAGGAGACAGGAGGUGCACGGUUAGGGUUAGGGUUAGGGUUAGGGUUAGGGUUAGGGUUAGGGUUAGGGGUUAGGGUUAGGGUUAGGGUUAGGGUUAGGGGUUAGGGUUAGGGUUAGGGUUAGGGUUAGGGGUUAGGGUUAGGGUUAGGGUUAGGGUUAGGGGUUAGGGUUAGGGUUAGGAUAUAGGGAUAUGUGCCACUUUUGACAUGCCGGUUCAUUGCCUUUCCCAAUGAUGAACCGGGCUGAGAUUUGGUCUACCCCCCUAUUUUCGGGUAUGCUGAAUCUAGAAAUACUAAUGAACCAGCGAUCGGACAUUCCUAUCAAAAGUUAUGGCGAAAUGAAAAUUUCCCAUUGAAAAUGAAUGGGAGCGGAAAAAUGGCCAAAGUCAGUGUUUGCAAGUGUUGUACUUGUCUGGAACUGUUGAAAAUGCAUUGUGAGCACGUUUCAGGCCAUUUCCUGUCAUUUGAGGGCGACUUUGCAAAAAGGGGUGUCAUACCGCUUUUGACCAGAGGUGGCGCUGCACAUGUCCGACGGUUAGGGUUAGGGUGAGACUUUGGGCAAGGGGUUAGGGUUAGGGUUGGAGCUAGGGUUAGGGUUAGGGUUGGAGCUAGGGUUAGGGUUAGGGUUGGAGCUAGGGUUAGGGUUAGGGUUGGUGUUAUUGGAGAAAAAUCACAAGAUUUUCCGAAGUGUGGACCCAAUUUUUCACCUUCCAGAAUUGUGUUAGGAGCACGUUUCAGGCCACGGGGAGUCCAUAGAACCUGAUUCUGGGUGAAGUUUUCGGGGGUUGGAGCUUUGGGGCAGGAUAUAGGGAUAUGUGCCACUUUUGACAUGCCGGUUCAUUGCCUUUCCCAAUGAUGAACCGGGCUGAGAUUUGGUCUACCCCCCUAUUUUCGGGUAUGCUGAAUCUAGAAAUACUAAUGAACCAGCGAUCGGACAUUCCUAUCAAAAGUUAUGGCGAAAUGAAAAUUUCCCAUUGAAAAUGAAUGGGAGCGGAAAAAUGGCCAAAGUCAGUGUUUGCAAGUGUUGUACUUGUCUGGAACUGUUGAAAAUGCAUUGUGAGCACGUUUCAGGCCAUUUCCUGUCAUUUGAGGGCGACUUUGCAAAAAGGGGUGUCAUACCGCUUUUGACCAGAGGUGGCGCUGCACAUGUCCGACGGUUAGGGUUAGGGUGAGACUUUGGGCAAGGGGUUAGGGUUAGGGUUGGAGCUAGGGUUAGGGUUAGGGUUGGAGCUAGGGUUAGGGUUAGGGUUGGAGCUAGGGUUAGGGUUAGGGUUGGUGUUAUUGGAGAAAAAUCACAAGAUUUUCCGAAGUGUGGACCCAAUUUUUCACCUUCCAGAAUUGUGUUAGGAGCACGUUUCAGGCCACGGGGAGUCCAUAGAACCUGAUUCUGGGUUAGGGUUAGGGUUAGGGUUAGGGUUAGGGUUAGGGUUAGGGUUAGGGGUUAGGGUUAGGGUUAGGGUUAGGGUUAGGGUUAGGGUUAGGGUUAGGGGUUAGGGUUAGGGUUAGGGUUAGGGUUAGGGGUUAGGGUUAGGGUUAGGGUUAGGGUUAGGGUUAGGGUUAGGGGUUAGGGUUAGGGUUAGGGUUAGGGUUAGGGUUAGGGUUAGGGGUUAGGGUUAGGGUUAGGGUUAGGGUUAGGGUUAGGGUUAGGAUAUAGGGAUAUGUGCCACUUUUGACAUGCCGGUUCAUUGCCUUUCCCAAUGAUGAACCGGGCUGAGAUUUGGUCUACCCCCCUAUUUUCGGGUAUGCUGAAUCUAGAAAUACUAAUGAACCAGCGAUCGGACAUUCCUAUCAAAAGUUAUGGCGAAAUGAAAAUUUCCCAUUGAAAAUGAAUGGGAGCGGAAAAAUGGCCAAAGUCAGUGUUUGCAAGUGUUGUACUUGUCUGGAACUGUUGAAAAUGCAUUGUGAGCACGUUUCAGGCCAUUUCCUGUCAUUUGAGGGCGACUUUGCAAAAAGGGGUGUCAUACCGCUUUUGACCAGAGGUGGCGCUGCACAUGUCCGACGGUUAGGGUUAGGGUGAGACUUUGGGCAAGGGGUUAGGGUUAGGGUUGGAGCUAGGGUUAGGGUUAGGGUUGGAGCUAGGGUUAGGGUUAGGGUUGGAGCUAGGGUUAGGGUUAGGGUUGGUGUUAUUGGAGAAAAUCACAAGAUUUUCCGAAGUGUGGACCCAAUUUUUCACCUUCCAGAAUUGUGUUAGGAGCACGUUUCAGGCCACGGGGAGUCCAUAGAACCUGAUUCUGGGUUAGGGUUAGGGUUAGGGUUAGGGUUAGGGUUAGGGUUAGGGUUAGGGUUAGGGGUUAGGGUUAGGGUUAGGGUUAGGGUUAGGGUUAGGGUUAGGGGUUAGGGUUAGGGUUAGGGUUAGGGUUAGGGGUUAGGGUUAGGGUUAGGGUUAGGGUUAGGGUUAGGGUUAGGGGUUAGGGUUAGGGUUAGGGUUAGGGUUAGGGUUAGGGGUUAGGGUUAGGGUUAGGGUUAGGGUUAGGGUUAGGGUUAGGAUAUAGGGAUAUGUGCCACUUUUGACAUGCCGGUUCAUUGCCUUUCCCAAUGAUGAACCGGGCUGAGAUUUGGUCUACCCCCCUAUUUUCGGGUAUGCUGAAUCUAGAAAUACUAAUGAACCAGCGAUCGGACAUUCCUAUCAAAAGUUAUGGCGAAAUGAAAAUUUCCCAUUGAAAAUGAAUGGGAGCGGAAAAAUGGCCAAAGUCAGUGUUUGCAAGUGUUGUACUUGUCUGGAACUGUUGAAAAUGCAUUGUGAGCACGUUUCAGGCCAUUUCCUGUCAUUUGAGGGCGACUUUGCAAAAAGGGGUGUCAUACCGCUUUUGACCAGAGGUGGCGCUGCACAUGUCCGACGGUUAGGGUUAGGGUGAGACUUUGGGCAAGGGGUUAGGGUUAGGGUUGGAGCUAGGGUUAGGGUUAGGGUUGGAGCUAGGGUUAGGGUUAGGGUUGGAGCUAGGGUUAGGGUUAGGGUUGGUGUUAUUGGAGAAAAAUCACAAGAUUUUCCGAAGUGUGGACCCAAUUUUUCACCUUCCAGAAUUGUGUUAGGAGCACGUUUCAGGCCACGGGGAGUCCAUAGAACCUGAUUCUGGGUUAGGGUUAGGGUUAGGGUUAGGGUUAGGGUUAGGGUUAGGGUUAGGGGUUAGGGUUAGGGUUAGGGUUAGGGUUAGGGUUAGGGUUAGGGUUAGGGGUUAGGGUUAGGGUUAGGGUUAGGGUUAGGGUUAGGGGUUAGGGUUAGGGUUAGGGUUAGGGUUAGGGUUAGGGUUAGGGUUAGGGUUAGGGUUAGGGUUAGGGUUAGGGUUAGGGGUUAGGGUUAGGGUUAGGGUUAGGGUUAGGGUUAGGGUUAGGAUAUAGGGAUAUGUGCCACUUUUGACAUGCCGGUUCAUUGCCUUUCCCAAUGAUGAACCGGGCUGAGAUUUGGUCUACCCCCUAUUUUCGGGUAUGCUGAAUCUAGAAAUACUAAUGAACCAGCGAUCGGACAUUCCUAUCAAAAGUUAUGGCGAAAUGAAAAUUUCCCAUUGAAAAUGAAUGGGAGCGGAAAAAUGGCCAAAGUCAGUGUUUGCAAGUGUUGUACUUGUCUGGAACUGUUGAAAAUGCAUUGUGAGCACGUUUCAGGCCAUUUCCUGUCAUUUGAGGGCGACUUUGCAAAAAGGGGUGUCAUACCGCUUUUGACCAGAGGUGGCGCUGCACAUGUCCGACGGUUAGGGUUAGGGUGAGACUUUGGGCAAGGGGUUAGGGUUAGGGUUGGAGCUAGGGUUAGGGUUAGGGUUGGAGCUAGGGUUAGGGUUAGGGUUGGAGCUAGGGUUAGGGUUAGGGUUGGUGUUAUUGGAGAAAAAUCACAAGAUUUUCCGAAGUGUGGACCCAAUUUUUCACCUUCCAGAAUUGUGUUAGGAGCACGUUUCAGG
This 5076-nucleotide long non-coding RNA is filed under the name Xyrichtys novacula (pearly razorfish). Lineage: Eukaryota; Metazoa; Chordata; Actinopteri; Labriformes; Labridae. The record is from RNAcentral.